UUUUAGUUUUGCUUUGUUCUGUUUUGUUGUUUUCCUUGUUGUUGUUUUGGUUUUUUUCCUGAGCAUGAGCCAGAAAACAUACACUAGAAUCUAAUAAAUACUGAAAGCCAGCCUGGGCUAUUUUGGGUUGAUGCAUCUAUAGUGAUAUUUUGCACUGAGUAUUUAAUUAACACUUCUCUUUGUGAAUAAACCAGAAUAAAACUGCCUAAUCUUCCAAGAACUGAAUUUGUUCUCUGCUGUUAUUGGCACUAAAAAUUAAUAAAAUAUUAUUUUAGUCUGCAGUGUAACCUUAAAUAUUUCUCAAAGAAUGAAAGGAGCCCACCUGGCAAGGGAAACCAUGUAUUUUACCUUUGUCACAAAGAUGUAUUUAUAUUAAACCAUAUAUUUGGCCUUCACUGUUCUUCUGUUUUUUCAUUUAUAAACCACAGACUUUCUUGGCUUUGGAAAGCUAUUUGAAAAGGUGGAUAUAAAUUCUUCAAGAACAGCAAAGAAAGAAAUGUUUCUUCAUUGGGUUUUUGUUUACAUUAAUUUUCUUCUGCUCCAUUUCCCACAUGUAUAUCUUGAUUUUAAGGAAUUUUCUGCUAGUGUUACUCAGUUGUUUGAGGGUCUUUACCUUAAGCAUUUAUUUAUCUAGAUGUCAUUGAUUGAAAAAGCAGGGAGAUGUCCAUAUGCAAGGGAGUGAAUGUGAAAUUAUGAAAAAUGAGAGGAUGAUAAUCCUCCUUUUAUAUUCUCCUGACCUGAGGGGUCAUCUUACCUUUCCCCAGAUAAAUUAUAAGCAGGCUGUGAUAAUAUUAACAAAACGAGUUUAUCGUAUUGAGAGUUUAUCAUUCGCACAGUCUUUAAGAUCCAGGUAGGCUGAAGAGAAGUCUGCCUUAAACUCAGGGUUUUUAUGUAUUCCUGAGAGAGUAACAAGUUUACUCUGUUGGUAUAAUAGCAUAUCCAGUAAAAUAUAGCAGCAGAGUUCUCUUUAUACUUGUGAUACAAUGCCUCUGGCUUAGUAUAAAGUCAUUAUGCAGUACACCCAGUUUACUGAAUUCUGGAAGCUGAUAACAAUAAUUAAAAUACUACCUGACAAGUAGUAUUUUAUUAUGCAAUCCCACAAUGCUUCUGUGAGUUGUUAGGCACACAGCCAACUGCUUUGAACCACCUGGAAGAAUUAUUUUUACACCUACAGUGGAUAGCAUUAGGAAAUGGUCUGAUGGGCUUGCAGAUCUGCAGUUAUCGCACACUAAUCACACUAGUAAGAUUUCAUCUCCUGAGUAACUAAACUGAUAUUGAGUUAAGUGAUAAUGACCAGGGGUGAAUAUUGCUGUUGCCUUAAUGACUGAUGGAGCUGAACACAUGGCCUGAGGCUUAACAACAGGCUCUUAGUCAGCAGGCAGAGCCCCAAAUGCAGCUGUGGGUGUUGUUAUAAGCUGAGACUGGUUGCAGGUGUUUCAGGUUUCAGGAGGAAGGGGAAGAAAGAGCACCAUCAUCAUAUAGGCAUAGGGUAUGCCUAAGGAAUAUGGUCUGCAUGAGCAGUAUGUGCAAGUGUGCUUAACAUUUCACAGCUAUAAAUACCUGUAAAUUUAUCUGAAUAGCUUAUAAUCUCUUUUUUAAAUAAUUUUUUUUAAGUCAAAUUAUUUAAACUAUCUUAAGAGAUUACAUUUCCAAAAAAUGGGAUAUCCUCAGUCUGGAUACUUCAUCCUCUGAUGUCCAGUUUAAUCGAUUAUUGCCUUGAUUUUCAAAUUUAUUUAUGUACCUUUCCCAGACUUUACUCACACUGGGACUAACCUGGGACAUGAUGAAGUCACAGCAAAAAAUCACAGUUGUUUUACUGGGAUGAUAGUUCUUGUGUGGUGGUUUUGCAGCUUCAAGAUACUGCCAGGUUAAGAUUUAUAGUAUUUCUCUAGUCCAGACCACAAUAACUUCAUUUUUUGUCUUCAUUGCAACCUUAGGAACACCAAAAAUGAUCUGUCCUUUUUUUACUGCUACUUAACAUUGCAUACAUGUACAUUAGGUAAUGAACAUACUGGGAUUUCCCAACCAUAGCUAUGACAAGUUAACUUUGAAAAUACACCAUGAGUAUUUGGAGUAGUCAUGUUCUCUGAGAAAAACACUAAACCUGUGUCUCUAAUUAGGAAAGAAUUUUUUUUAUAUACUCACAAUAAAUCUUUCCUAAUUUAUGUUUCCUGUGUUUUCAGGAGAGAAGGAGGUGGUGUUCAGAGCAAAAGCCUAACUAGGGUGCUGUGAGAAGCACAGUCCAGGAGGAUCCCUUUUCCUCCUCUUGUUAGAGUGGGAACGGAAUAUGCUGAACCAUGCAGGACACUAAAUCAGAUGCCAAAAAAAAAAAAAAGUUACUUGAAAAAAAUAAUUUAGGCUUAUCAUGUUAAAUUUUGUGUUGUAUAUAGAAAGUAAUUGAGUUACUAGUUUUGCAUGAAGGCUGAAGUAGUUUUGCUUGCUCAGUUGAUGACAAUUCAUUGCUUCUUAGAAAAUACUGAGUGUCAUUGGUACACGUCCUGAUGGGACUCCCCAGUUUAGUGCUACCACUGAGACUCUCCAAACCAUUUUGCUUCUUGCUUGCUCCCCUUCCUCCUCCCCCUGCACUGGAUGAAGAGGAGAAUUGGAGGCAAAAUAGGUAAAGGGUUGAGAUAAGAACAAUUUACUGGAAACAGAAAUGAGAUAAGAAAACAAACACCAACAGCAACAAUAUUAAUAAUAAAAGUGUACAAAAGAGAGAGUGAUUCAGUUGCAAAAUGCUCACUGCAGAGCUUGACCUGACCACAGCCACACCACCUUGACUGCUCCAUCCAACUCUUUACCAGUGCCACUCAACUACUCCCUCUGGCUCAGAGCCAGCGCUACCCACUGUUCCUCUGCCGUGCUUCCUCGGCAGGAAAGAACCCCUUCUCUUUAGAAGAGAGUCCCUUUCCUCUGCCCCUGGCAAUGGUGUGAAGUGGUCUAGAAUAACCCCCAAGUUCUAGACAUGACCUCUCCUGGCUACUGCAAAAGUUAACCCUGUCCUGUCUGGAACUAGGGCAGUAACUGAAGAGCAUAAACACUUUGUCACUUGUUCAGUGGUUUUACUGCUGCGUUUCAUCUAAACUGUCCAAUGAGGCGUUUGAAGGAAAAUUGAUUUUCUGUUCUUAGUAAGUGAAGGGCCUUUAAGCAGUUUUGCCUUGAGUGUUGCCUCUGGAACGUCGUUCUCAACAUUUCAGAAUGCAAAUUGAGAAAAUGCAUUAACACAAAAUUCAGAGAGACACUGUGAUCAUGACAGUCCCACGCUCUUUGAAACCCAUCUGGAAAGAGAGCUCGAAUUGCACAAGUCUUUGCCAUUUUCUAUAACACAAAAGGGAAUUUGUGACAUGCAGUGGUAAUUUCAGUUGCCUGGCUGACUGGUAGGCCAGAUUAGGUGCUGGCUAACAAUGGCUUUCUCUUGCACAAGCCUUGGUCUUGUGGAUUAUGGCAGAGGGACCACAUGGUGAUGCAAUUUGAUUUCUCACCUGUGACCAUAUAUCAUAAAAUUUAAAAAAAAAAAAAAAUUGGGAUAACUGAUCAAUAUCUGGGCUGCAAUAAAAAUAGGUCAGUGAUGCAGGCAUAGAGUUUGUGAGCCCACACACAGGUUGGAGGUGUACAAUAUUAAUCUGUCAUUUCAAUCAGUCGUGUGAGGGAAAAACCUAUAAAAGAUGUUUAGGAAAUCAUAAACCUGGAAAACUUCUGUGUAACAUUUAGUAAGGAAGGUGUCUGAAUGUAUAUUUAAAUGCCACAUAAAAUCUCCAUCUUAAAGAAGACACUUAGCAGAAGUCUUUGGGCAAACUUCAUUCAUGGAAGUUGCUGACAGCAAAGUGAAAGGGUAAACGGCAAAGGGCAUCAUCUCUAUAGAAACACUGUCACCAGAGGUUUACAAACCAUGUUUCCAAGAGCAGAGCUGGACAAGUUAAGUGGACCUAUCACAAUUCUCCCAGCUUUAGAUCUGUCAUGAGCUAUGCUGCUUCUUGCUUCCCUGACAGCUUAAAAGAAAUGCAGCCUGUAACUACACUGUUGCCAGCCCAAAGAGACUUCUCUUGGUUAUCAAAAUGUUUGCCACAAUGUGUAACACUGGAGAGCACAGACAAAAUGCCCUGCUUUCUUGUUUUAAUUCACUGUUGUAACCCUAAGGGAAAGUGCUAUCCAUGAAGUUUUCCAUGAAACAUAAUACAAGAAUGGGUUGGGGAAAAAAAGACAAGUGAAGAUUUUCUGUUGUGCUACUCUCCUUGGUGGUGUGGUGGACUUAAAAGCUGGUUUAAAACCAGAGCUCUGUAGCUGGCUGCAGAAGACAAACAUAGUCUGUACCACCUGGCUCUGAAGAAAUUUCCACUUUGAUUGCUUAUAAGCAAGUUGCCUUGAAAGGUGCUAUACCAUCAGCAGCUGCUGCCAAAUGUGCUCCUUCUCUGGAAGUUUCAGGCUUUUAGCACUAGGACCCCAUCCAACUGAAGGGUCAGCAGUGAUGAUAAAGCAAAGCUAACAAUCAGCUCAGCUAGACAGAGUAGUCUCUAGGUUAGGAAAAUUGCUUUUCUCAAACAGCAACAUUGAAGAUUUCAUUUGCAUUUUUUGUUUUCCUUGCGUUUUAUCUGGACCAGAAAAAUGGGGGGCCUUAAGACUUCUAAUGCAUACUUUGUUAUGAAAAUAGGUAAGUAUUGCAUUCUUACAGCAUCGGUCUUGUACAAAACAGAAUACUAUCUAUUACAAAAUUCCGUUUCUUUGCCUCCUAAAAACUCACCAGCAUUUUCACUUUUUUUGCUGUAGUGCUUUGAGUCCUCAGACUCCAUUAGUCCUGUCUCUUAUCUGAAGGCAAUGCUGGAGGAUGGCUGAACUCCCUCACACAGCACAGGGAGGUGUGCCAGAACAGAUUGCAAGGAGAGUGAUGCAGCACAACUCAGCUCCCUCCUUCUCUCAAGAUAGAAACUGGGCUUUGAAAACAAUAAGCCUCUCCACUAGGCAUGCUCAGAAGCUCUCCCCCACUGCUGAUUCCUGCUGGCAUCCACUUACUGCCUGGAAGGUGCAACAAGCCAAGCCCCAGCUCUUUUCUGAUGUACCUGUCAUCUUUCUAUGGCAGAACUUGGAAAGAGAGAUUUUUGAGAAGCCUGAUACAAGGAGCUAAGAGCUUACCUGUGGUUACUAGCAGAAAGGAAUACUGUCUGUUUAUUUCAACACCUGAGAAAAAUCAAAGCAAUCCUAACAUCAUGGUCACCAUAAAAAGAGCUCCUGUUUUCAGACUUCAGAACUGGACUGACACUGCUCUCCCAGGAGGAGCUAGGCAGGUGGCUUCUUGGGCAGCUGGCUUCCAGAAGAAUGGACUUGUCCUACCCUGAACAGUCAGUUUGCCCUCUGCCAACGCACACAUCUCUAUCAUCCCACUAAGCUUUUAUAAAGGCUGUUCUUUUCUGAGCACAGAGAAGCAUCCUCUAAACUCUAAAACACUAAGGAGCUGGAAGGAUCACAAGCAUGUUAGGAUCUCAGUCCUGGAGAUAACCAAGCUUGGUAGCCCAGAUUUGUUUCCAAUUGCAUAGGCUGAUCAGCAGUGAAAGUGAAUUGUCUUCAAGAGCACCUGGUAUCCCAGCUCCCCAUUUGUAUUUUCAUAGCUUUAGGGGUUUUGUAAGCAAACAUGAUGCUUUGCAAUGAGCUUCAAAAGCAAAACACAGAGCUGAAUAAUUCAGGCCCCCUGUUUUUAUUACUUUUCAGAAAUGGCCCCAUCUAUAUGUUUCACUACUAAUUUACAUUCCACAAGAACCCUUUUGGCUAUACAAAGGUCCCACAAAACUUGAGGUCACAAAGAUACAGCUUCCAGUUUUUCUCUUAUAAGCAGUCAAAGGUGCCCUGCCCCCAACAGUAUUCACUCCCUAAGGUAUUCUUCUGUGCCCAAAAAUAUCUCAUUUAAAAUCCUGUGUGGGAAAAAUAUUAAGAUCUGAAAGACUACAGGAGACACAAUAUCUGCAGAGGCCUGUGUGGAUUUCAGGUGAGAGCUGGUCCCCUUGUUCAUCACUUAGAUGUAACCAAAGGCAUGUAUUCUAUUACCAUCUGUUAAAACCAGGUGGGGCAGUGUUCUUUAUCUCUUCCACAACCCAUCAUCCCUCCAA
This is a long non-coding RNA of Parus major (Great Tit), 6095 nucleotides long. RefSeq lists it as uncharacterized. NCBI's taxonomy places the organism in Eukaryota, Metazoa, Chordata, Aves, Passeriformes, Paridae. The record is from RefSeq and is a predicted model, not a curated record. The transcript is spliced from 3 exons.